UGUCCAGUGACAAACGGAAUUUCUCCUUUUGCCGUGGAUUCUUCCUGGACGACUGAGGGAUUUUACACCUGCACUUUAGUAGUACUUACAAUUUUACUCUUACUUGAGUAAUUUCUUGGACCACUACUUUGUGCUUCUACUUUAAUAAUAAUAUUUUCAAGUAAUAUUACCCUUGUACA
This is a small nucleolar RNA of Boleophthalmus pectinirostris (great blue-spotted mudskipper), 179 nucleotides long. RefSeq annotates it as small nucleolar RNA snR190. NCBI's taxonomy places the organism in Eukaryota, Metazoa, Chordata, Actinopteri, Gobiiformes, Gobiidae. The record is from RefSeq and is a predicted model, not a curated record. The transcript has a single exon.